Molecule: ribosomal RNA, 462 nt
Filed under: Selenomonas sp. oral taxon E50
Lineage: Bacteria; Bacillati; Bacillota; Negativicutes; Selenomonadales; Selenomonadaceae
Description: bacterial SSU rRNA
Rfam family: Bacterial small subunit ribosomal RNA
Source: RNAcentral
GACGAACGCUGGCGGCGUGCUUAACACAUGCAAGUCGAACGGAGCGAAUGAAAGCUUGCUUUUAUGAGCUUAGUGGCAAACGGGUGAGUAACACGUAGACAACCUGCCGACAGGAUGGGGACAACAUUCCGAAAGGAAUGCUAAUACCGAAUGAAGCGGAGGAGAGGCAUCUCUCCUCCGUGAAAGAUGGCCUCUAUUUAUAAGCUAUCACCUGUUGAUGGGUCUGCGUCUGAUUAGCUAGUUGGUGAGGUAACGGCUCACCAAGGCGACGAUCAGUAGCCGGUCUGAGAGGAUGAACGGCCACAUUGGGACUGAGACACGGCCCAGACUCCUACGGGGGCAGCAGUGGGGAAUCUUCCGCAAUGGGCGCAAGCCUGACGGAGCAACGCCGCGUGAGUGAAGAAGGUCUUCGGAUCGUAAAGCUCUGUUGACGGGGACGAACGUGCCUAGUGCAAAUAGUAU